CCUACGGGAGGCAGCAGUGGGGAAUAUUGGACAAUGGGGGGAACCCUGAUCCAGCCAUGCCGCGUGUGUGAAGAAGGCCCUCGGGUUGGAAAGCACUUUCAGUGAGGAAGAACGCCUGGUGGUUAAUACCCAUCAGGAAAGACAUCACUCACAGAAGAAGCACCGGCUAACUCCGUGCCAGCAGCCGCGGUAAUACGGAGGGUGCGAGCGUUAAUCGGAAUUACUGGGCGUAAAGCGCGCGUAGGUGGCUUGAUAAGCCGGUUGUGAAAGCCCCGGGCUCAACCUGGGAACGGCAUCCGGAACUGUCAAGCUAGAGUGCAGGAGAGGAAGGUAGAAUUCCCGGUGUAGCGGUGAAAUGCGUAGAGAUCGGGAGGAAUACCAGUGGCGAAGGCGGCCUUCUGGACUGACACUGACACUGAGGUGCGAAAGCGUGGGUAGCAAACAGGAUUAGAUACCCGGGUAGUC
RNAcentral lists this ribosomal RNA (465 nucleotides) under Vreelandella stevensii. RNAcentral describes it as "partial 16S ribosomal RNA". It matches the Rfam family "Bacterial small subunit ribosomal RNA", at positions 338 to 795 of the family's 1533-position model. Lineage: Bacteria; Pseudomonadati; Pseudomonadota; Gammaproteobacteria; Oceanospirillales; Halomonadaceae. The record is from RNAcentral.